This 484-nucleotide ribosomal RNA is filed under the name uncultured bacterium. RNAcentral's name for it is "partial 16S ribosomal RNA". It matches the Rfam family "Bacterial small subunit ribosomal RNA", at positions 29 to 507 of the family's 1533-position model. The record is from RNAcentral.
AUUGAACGCUGGCGGCAUGCUUUACACAUGCAAGUCGAACGGCAGCGCGGGCUUCGGCCUGGCGGCGAGUGGCGAACGGGUGAGUAAUACAUCGGAACGUGCCCAGUAGUGGGGGAUAGCUCGGCGAAAGCCGGAUUAAUACCGCAUACGACCUGAGGGUGAAAGCGGGGGAUCUUCGGACCUCGCGCUAUUGGAGCGGCCGAUGGCAGAUUAGCUAGUUGGUGGGGUAAAGGCCUACCAAGGCGACGAUCUGUAGCUGGUCUGAGAGGACGACCAGCCACACUGGGACUGAGACACGGCCCAGACUCCGACGGGAGGCAGCAGUGGGGAAUUUUGGACAAUGGGCGAAAGCCUGAUCCAGCAAUGCCGCGUGUGUGAUGAAGGCCUUCGGGUUGUAAAGCACUUUUGGCGGGAACGAAAAGGACUGUGCCAAUACCACGGUUCGAUGACGGUACCCGCAGAAUAAGCACCGGCUAACUACGUG